ACGACGGGUACGGGUUGUGACAGCAAGAGCCCGGAGAUGGAUUCUGAGACAUGAAUCCAGGCCCUACGGGGCGCAGCAGGCGCGAAAACUUUACAAUGCGGGCAACCGUGAUAAGGGGACACCGAGUGCCAGCAACAUUUGCUGGCUGUCCAGGUGCGUACAAUGCACCUGUUAGCAAGGGCCGGGCAAGACCGGUGCCAGCCGCCGCGGUAACACCGGCGGCCCGAGUGGUGAUCGUUAUUAUUGGGUCUAAAGGGUCCGUAGCCGGUUUGGUCAGUCCUCCGGGAAAUCUGUCAGCUCAACUGAUAGGCUAUCGGGGGAUACUGCCAGACUUGGAACCGGGAGAGGUAAGAGGUACUAC
This 361-nucleotide ribosomal RNA is filed under the name uncultured archaeon. RNAcentral describes it as "bacterial SSU rRNA". It matches the Rfam family "Archaeal small subunit ribosomal RNA", at positions 260 to 621 of the family's 1478-position model. The record is from RNAcentral.